AGUGAACGCUGGCGGCGUGCUUAACACAUGCAAGUCGAACGAGAACGGAAUAUAGCUUGCUAUAUUUGUCAGCUAAGUGGCGCACGGGUGAGUAAUGUAUAGAUAACCUGCCCUUAAGAAAGGAAUAACAGUUGGAAACGACUGCUAAUGCCCUAUAUGCCUUUAAUACAUAAGUAUGCAAGGGAAACGCUUUAGUGCUUAAGGAUGGGUCUGUAUGGUAUCAGCUUGUUGGUGAGGUAAUGGCUCACCAAGGCUAUGACGCCUAACUGGUUUGGGAGGAUGAUCAAUCACACUGGAACUGAGACACGGUCCAGACUCCUACGGGAGGCAGCAGUGGGGAAUAUUGCACAAUGGACGAAAGUCUGAUGCAGCAACGCCGCGUGGAGGAUGACACAUUUCGGUGCGUAAACUCCUUUUAUAUAGGAAGAUAAUGACGGUACUAUAUGAAUAAGCACCGGCUAACUCCGUGCCAGCAGCCGCCGUAA
RNAcentral lists this ribosomal RNA (485 nucleotides) under uncultured bacterium. Its description in RNAcentral is "partial 16S ribosomal RNA". It matches the Rfam family "Bacterial small subunit ribosomal RNA", at positions 29 to 523 of the family's 1533-position model. The record is from RNAcentral.